GAAAUAGAUGAUCUCUAGUUUCCAAUUCUUGUUGGCACAUAACACAGAUGCCUGAUAUGUUCAAAUUCCAUUGCAGCAGUCUGUUCUUGGUAGGAAUUCUAUCCUGUAGUAACAACCACAAGCUGAAGAUAGCUUUAGGUCUAGCAGCAUUUUGCAUUACCAGAUUCUUCCAUGAAACUCUAGGUGAUUCUCCAAGGAAUUGCAAGUAUACUUUCCUUAUGGUGCAGUCAGUGUUAUCUAGCAAUUGAUGCUGAUGUAGUAGCUUAGCUCCCUC
RNAcentral lists this long non-coding RNA (274 nucleotides) under Nicotiana benthamiana. RNAcentral's name for it is "long non-coding RNA (NBEN_LNC032876)". Lineage: Eukaryota; Viridiplantae; Streptophyta; Magnoliopsida; Solanales; Solanaceae. The record is from RNAcentral.